UGGCGGCGUGCCUAAUACAUGCAAGUCAACGGCUUUCUAUGGAAGCUUGCGUUCCACUGAGAAGAUAGUGGCGAACGGGUGAGUACAACGUGGGUAACCUGCCCAUAAGAGGGGGAUAACAUCCGGAAACGGGUGCUAAUACCGCAUAGUUUUCUUGAUCGCAUGAUUGAGAAAGGAAAGACGGCCUUUGUGCUGUCGCUUAUGGAUGGACCCGCGGCGUAUUAGUUAGUUGGUGAGGUAACGGCUCACCAAGACGAUGAUACGUAGCCGACCUGAGAGGGUGAUCGGCCACAUUGGGACUGAGACACGGCCCAAACUCCUACGGGAGGCAGCAGUAGGGAAUCUUCCGCAAUGGACGAAAGUCUGACGGAGCAACGCCGCGUGAGUGAAGAAAGGUUUUUCGGAUCGUAAAACUCUGUUGUCAGAGAAGAACAAGUUGGAGAGUAACUGCUCCAGCCUUGACGGUAUCUGACCAGAAAGCCACGGCUAACUACGUGCCAGCCGCUGC
This 508-nucleotide ribosomal RNA is filed under the name uncultured bacterium. RNAcentral's name for it is "bacterial SSU rRNA". It matches the Rfam family "Bacterial small subunit ribosomal RNA", at positions 37 to 518 of the family's 1533-position model. The record is from RNAcentral.